Molecule: long non-coding RNA, 10065 nt
Organism: Prinia subflava (tawny-flanked prinia)
Lineage: Eukaryota; Metazoa; Chordata; Aves; Passeriformes; Cisticolidae
Exons: 5
Source: RefSeq, a predicted model, not a curated record
GGAAACGCGACCCCGCCGGGCGGCGGCGGGCACGGCGUGCCCGGCCCGGGGCGGGGAGAGCCCGGGGGAACCGAGCCCCACACGGACGGAAAGCAGCGCCUCGCAGUGCUGGCGGGGUUUUUUGUUUGGAUGAAAACUGAAAAAAAUGACCCCCAGUGAAAUAUGUGGAAACAUUCUCGUGUGGAAAGGUUCAUUUUGAAAUCUUCCAAUUCAAACUGUCUUCCUAGAUGGAAAUGUCACUUUCAACUUGAUUCUCCCCCAGUGUUGAUAAUCCCCUCCAGUCACUGAGUACUGUCUGCAAAACAAGCAAAAGAGCUCUGUUGUGAAGGAACAAAAUCAGCUUGGCCACAAAUUGUCAGCUCAGAAUAAAAAUAAAGUCUCAGAAGAAGGGCUGAGGUUGAAGGACACCAUUCAGAAGUUGCAAAAAGCCAGGUCAAGAGGUCUGUGACCAGAAGGAAGGAACCAGCCCUUUUCUAAAGAGGAUGUCAUUUGAGUCCCCAAACAGAAAUCUCUGCACUACAGCACUGUGGAAAGCCUGGUCAGCCCUGGCUAAAAACUCAGGCUAAACUGGGUUACGUGAGUCACCACUUCACUGACUUCAUACCUCAGGCACGACGGGAAGUAAUGGUAGUGAUGCUGAUAGACACCAGAGCACAGAAGAGGGGAGAAAUAAUGAGAAGCACAAAUAAAGAGCCAGUUUCUCCUCUAUGAUGGCUAGAAGGAAUCCGCCAUAGGAUUCCCUACUCUAAUGGUACAAGUCAGCCAGCUCUGGGUACCUGCGCGGCAGGAACGGGGCAAUGAAGACAGGGAGCUCCAGGGAACGCUGCUCGCCCCGGCAGCGCCGGGAUCGGCCGGACCGGGACGGCUGCGCCACCCCCGAGCGGGUCCGGCUCCAACAGCCUCGGCCACGGAUUGCUCUGCUGGAGAGGGGACCGAGGGCGUGCGUGUGUGCUGAGGAGGUGCUGCUGGAAGAGCGCAAAAUGCGGGCACGAGAAUGAUCAAACCAUUCAUUACAUUUAAUAGCCUUGCUGUUUUCAUUGGACUUGGCAUUGCAGCAGAAGGUAGGAAAGCAUUAGCCAAAGGAAAAUCUAAAUAUGACCUAACGAAGCUGGAAGGGGAGUUAAGAAUUUGGACAGAAAUGGUAUUGGUUUAUACUUUUCUUCUUCUUUUUUUUUUUUUUUUUUUUUUUUUUUUUUUUUUUUUUUUCUCUUUUUUUUUUUUUUUCCUCCAAGAAACUACUCCUCUUUACAGGGGUGCCUCUCCAGCUUGCAAGUUUCGAGCAGUAGUUUCAUCAGCUUUACUAUGGCAAAGGCAGAUCCUGGCCAAAGGAUCCUUUGCUAUCUGGAUUGCUGCUUGCUGUGCACAGGGAGGCUUCUCCCCGGCUGCCAGGCAGGAGCAGGACAGGGGAAGUGUUGCUUGCACAAUGCAUCAGGAGCAGCAGCGUGAGCCUGGAAGUGGGAAAGCACAGUCACCAGCUAAAGGCUGGACUUCAAAUUCACAGGGGCAAAAUUUAGAAUUCAACAUCCCUGUGCAGCGUGUCUUAGCUCAGUGUGUAAACAUCAGCCCUCUGAUGAAAGGGAAGGAAAUCAGCCCUGUUUGUAACAAAGUUGAUGCAAAGGUUAUCAGUGGCUGACUCAGCUGGUCCUUGGUUGAUGCACAGGCAUUCGUGGCUGUGAAAGAACUGAAGCUCACAUAAACAACUAACAAAAGCUAUAUACAAGGGAUUUAUUACAUGAAUAAUUUGACAUACUCCAUGGCAGUCAGAUACAAGUGCAUUUAAUUAAUGUUUUGUGGACAUCAUAACAGUCGGAAUAUUUCAGCUGAACAGUCAGUAUUUGGCUGAAUUCAAGCCAGUGCAAUUCAUGACAUAACCAGAAACAGGGAGUUACAGGUCUACAAUGAGGUUAGACUAGAUAGCAACAGCAUAUUUAUUGUCACAUCAAAGCAUUACAAAAUAUGAAAGCCCAAUAUUUCAACUAUCUCUAAAAUGGUAUUUGUACAAAGCUGUUGUAGAUACUUAAAUGUAAGGAUUCGUUGCAUCAGUAAUGGACCAUGACUUUAUUUUUGGAAGUUAUUUGAAUAUUCAGAAUUAUUUGGGGCAACAAGAAGAAAUGUAAACAUCUGACAGUCCUCUGAAGGUCCCUUCUGAGAAAAUACAUUGUGUGCCACAGGAAAAGUGCAUUCUAACUGGUGUGUCUACUAUGGCCAGUUUGACUCACAUUCACUUAGCACCAGGUAUUUAUCCAUUUCUGCAGUAAAAAGUUAGAAAAUCUUUGUAUUAACUCAGAAAAGAGAAAACAAAGUCAAAAGUUUUUUUUUUCUUCUUCUUUCUUUAAAGGAACAACAAGUAAAUUUUAAAAAAAAACCCCACCCAACAUUUAAACAGUUGACUCUUAUUUACAAAGGAACCAGGAGCUAGCAAAGCGCAUAGCCCCUGAACAGUCUUUAUUAUUUAUUUCUUCAGGUUCAUGUACCUGAAUAUAUGAGUUUAUUUACAGCUGGACAGGUAUCCACAGAAGUAGUAAUCAGAAUUUUUCUAUUUGGCUAGAAGUUGUAUAAAAAAAGACAAAACACUGUUCAAAUACUUUCCAAAUAUAUAUAUAUUAAAAGUAUUCAGUAUUUCCAUCAGUGCCAGAGUUGGAAGCUCUUUCUCAUUGUAAAAAGUUAACUUUGUGAUAGUGACAGCAAAGGACUGACAGAGUCAGUCAGAGCUUUGAUUUGAGGGACUGCAGCUGGAGCUACCCCAGGCCCAGCAGGCAGAUUGCAGGGAAAUGAAUCCAUGUGUGUCUGUUGCAGGGACAGGCCACGUCCUGGUGGAGGGUGACCUGCUGCUCCAGAGAGCCUCCCACUCACGCUGGACAAUCCUGUGGAACCCUCUGGGGCAGGUUCCCUCGGAGAACAAACACCCCAAAACCUCUGAAGUAGUGGAAAUAUUCUUUAUGCAAACGAACAACUAGCAUGGGCAGGUAGCUCAGUAAAUGGAAAAAUGUAAUCACCACACUAAUUCUUGUAAAGAAUAUAAAAUUAAAGGUUUGGCCCCUCAAAUACAAAUACAUACUUCAAAAAUAUUUUUUAAUUAACAUAACCUAGACGAGUGCAAAUCUCUGGAUACAUAAGAAUAUGACAGCCUUCAUACUGGUAUCAAAUACUCAAGCAGUUUGCAUAUAAACAAAAUCUUUCUUUGUUGUUGAGUCCAUGCUUGCUUUAGUCUAAAGAAAGGAUAUUCUUAUUAAUUCUACUUUUUUGGUCUUUCUUCCUGUAGGAUAAAGCCUAAGAAACACACUUCAUUCAUUGAGUAGACUGGGCUGUGUAUAUUACAGUGACAACCCAAAAUUUAAGUAAGAAAUGUUGCAUGCAGUAUCUUUUUCCUUUAUUUAAUUACACCAGCUACAAGAACAAGACAUCCAUUUUCCAUCUUUCCUGCUCCCUUCCAACAGAAGGUACAGUAAACCCAGUCUCGGAUCCUUCAUCUCUUGCACAUCCCAGCCCUGAAGUCCAUCAGUGGUUAGGACGAAGGGCUGAGCAUUUUGAGCACGGCAUUACCUGGGGCAGCUGGUCUCAGCAGAGAGACCACAACCCCUGAGGAGCCAUCCCUGCCUCCCAGGCGCUGCAGGGCACCGCGGGGAUGGUCAGAAGGAGCCCGGGCUGCUGGCAUGGCUGCAAGGGCUGUCUCAAGGGGGACGAUGGUGUCUGCAAGCCCAGGGGCAGUGGCCUCUCCUUGGCACAGCUGGGCUGAGUGUGGCUCAAACUCCUCCUGAGCCUGGGUGAGAGCAGCUGCUGGCCCUGCUCGGCCGCCCCAGCGCCCAGGAUGAGCCAGGGUGCAAGAGGCGCUGGGGCUGGAGCAGCUCUGGCGCAGGGAGCACAGGUAUCACACCCCUGUAUUUGGCCACACUGGGCCUGGGAGCCCAAACUGCUCCCCCAGAGCAUGCCAGGUCCUUGACUUGCCCACAGGUCCCUAACCACUCUGCUCCUCGGGCUGUGCAGCUCAGCAUUCCUCUGUCCUGCAUCUAAGGUUUUUGGAGAGCAGAAACAAGACAGGAGAUAAACAUCUGCCAAAGGAGAUGGGAGCCCCUGCAGCUCCUCAAGUUUGGGGGUUUCUAAGCUAGGGGAAAGGUUGAAGUGAUUCAAGAUACAGUAUGCAGCUGUGUGAAAAUGCAUAGUUUGUAUGAAUACAUUCAUUUACAAAGACCAAAGGAAGGUCCUUUGCUAUGUAGUUCAAUCACCAUCUGCUUUUAACAAAAAUGUGAGCUGACAAAGCGACAGGAUGUCAGUUAAACACAGCUCGGGGGUUAAUGGUAGCUGAAUGGCCUUUCCCAAAUAGAGAAUUAAUGUUUCUUUUUGCUUUUUGGAGAUAAUUUUAACUAGUUUUUCAUUUGAAGUCUGUUGUUUCUCUAAUCAUGUAUUUUAGGAUGUCAAGAGAUUCCUAUUCAACUGUGGUCAUCUCAGUAAUGACAAACCCUGCUUUGAGCAUUGUUAAGAAGUAAAAGCCCCGUAAGACAAACAAGCAAAACAACAGAAACCUGGGUUUAGCUAUGGUGUGCGAACUAGAUCAAAACAUGGUUCUUCUGAACUGCUGAAAUUCUAGUUCAGUAAUGAGUGGUGCUUUUUUGCUGUUUUCUUGAUUUUUUUUUUUGUCUUUUUGUUGUAAUAGCUGAGCUAAUACUGAGAAAAUCCUAUGAGUUUGCUCACCUUCCUUUUAUUUAGUUGACACUUUGGAUCCUAGCUGCUUCUCGUGAGGAAUGUCUGUUGUCCUGAGCAUUCCUGAACAUACAACAGUAAUGUAACAGGCAGGAUGGGCUUAAAUUGAGAAAAUAUUGGCCUAAGUUAUCUACUUUAAUGUUUUUCUCUCUUUGCACUUUUUCUGAAGAAAAAUUGCUUUGCCACUUGUGACACUAAAACACAGUAGUCUGCUUCCAAAUGUAACUUUAACAAAGAUCAGUACUCUCUGCUAAUCAACAUGUUCUAUAAAUAUUUAAUUCAGCAAUGGAUUGACUUUGCUUAUGAUACUUUAUCUUCAUGUUUGUUUCAUGUACUUGAUUUUCACUUAGUAUUUGACUUAGAUUCUUUCUUGCAACUUUUAUUCAACUGUAUCUAUGGAAAUUGCACAAAAACAUUUCUGAAGCUAGAAAAAAGAAUCAGAUUCACAUGGAGGAGAGUAACAUUAUCUAAGCACACUUUGCAAUCUAAAGUCAAGAAACAUUGCCUGUUGCUUAGUGAACUGAUCAUUCAUCGGGAAGUGGAAAAGUAAUAAAGAUUAUUUUCCAUACAAACAAUGAAUAUUAGAAGUGCAAGAGGAUGAGAUCUGCUCAUUCCUAAAUGCAUUGACCAGAAACAAAUUAUUAAUCAGCUGAACUACUUGAGAAAAAAACAAACCUUCUGAAUUUUUAUAAAGUUACUCUGUACAAGGCUGGUUUAGUGCCUUGUAAAAUUGAUAAAACUCAGGAGCUCAUGCUUAGCAAAUCACGAAUUCAGUAGUCAUUCUUUAAAGAUUCAGAUACAAGCAGAUACUUCUCAGUACCUUAACUCAAUUAUUUUCAUCAACUUUUAGGUAUUAAUAUGCACUUCUUAAUUUUGCAAAUUUUUUUAAUUUAAGAAGAACAACUGAAAUGUUUGGAGUGUCCUGACUCGUACUGAAAAUGACUCCCGAGAUAUCUGAAGUCCAUUGGAAGUACUCUUGGUUCAGCAGGCAGAAUUGACUCAUAUGCUGACACAAAGAUUUUAACUUUUUUUUUAAUAUGAAAUAACAGCAAAAUUCUCAGAGGAAUUUUGGAGGGCCCAAGUCUGGGUGGGCUUUGAUCCAGCACUAAAUCAUUUUCAGUGACAAUGAGCUCAGAGGCUUUUUGAUGAGUUAUGGCCAAGGUCCUCUGAAUUCUUGAGUUCUCUCCAGCUGCUGGUGAUACAGGGGACUGUGGGAAUUUGACAGUGGUCUGUAUGGUGGCAUUUUGUUUUGUGUUCCUAAUGCUGUGAGAAUGAAAAAAGCACCUUUUUCUCACAAGAAACAGUUUUUUGCUAUGUCUAAGUCACUAUCAAUGGAAACCUCUUCUCUAAAUGUGCUGUGCCGGCCCAUUGGCUGCCCCCAGAGGGCAGAAUCAAACCAGACUGCGAAGGAAUUGCAUCUGCAAGUCUUCUCUUCUAAGCUUUCCUUCAAACAUUCAUGGAAACACAGCAACCAGUCGUGCCACAGAGCUGUGUUUGUGCUGCCUGACAGAACAUGACCUUGGACAGGGCUGUCAUCGCUCUUGUUCCUCAGCCGAACACGGACUGAGUUCUCAGACCCCUGUGCUUACUGUAAAGGUUUCCAGCUUAGUGUGCCCCAUGGUUCCAGGAGCUGAGUCCUGCUGUGCAGCCCUCAUCUCGGUGGUGCCGUGGGCAGUGACACCAGUCCAUGCUUCUCCUCAGCACAGCUACCACUGAUGUUAAGCACGAGCCUUGCACACCACUGGCAGUGUGCUGGCCUCGCUCCAGGGACUCCUGGUGAUCCCUGGAAGGACACACCAGCUUUGCAGCAUGCACAAAUACCUGGAUCAUGCUCACCUUUUGCAGGAAGAACUACAGCUUGAUUAAAAAUGCCAAGGGGAUACAUUUGCAGUCCAAGGUGAAACUACACCCAGGCUAUUGGAGCAGCAGGCAGCUUUUACUUUUACCUAUGAAAGCAGAAAAGAGCAGAAUGUCUGGAAGCCUCCGAAAAUGAACUGGGGUCUCUGGGAGGUGGCCAACUAAGAGCUUUUGCAAGGAUGGAUUUUACAUGACUUCUGAGCUGUGCAUGGUCCAUACAUACACACGCUCAGCCUGGGAGAGGGGAGCCCAGGAAUGAUUCACCCUGGGAAGGAAAUGAGCAUCGCUGCCUCUCUCUGCCCUCUUCACUGCCAUUUGCCCUGUUUUCCCCAAUUUUCUACAUGUGAUUUGGAAUAAAGAGUUUGGACAAAGUAAAAGUCAAAAAGGUCUUUAUUUUUCAGCAUGCUCCAUAAGAUUUAAAAGGAUUCUAUGCUGGGGCAAAGUAACUGUUCUUUGUUCAAAAUGCUGAAACUGGCAUCUACAAAUUAAGAUAAACUACAUGGAAUAGUGUAAGUGCUGUAAGCUUAACACCAAAACCAAAGGGAAGAUGAGUUUAUUAAUUCCCUUAGGAAUAAAAGGAUUGUCUUUAGGACACUAGUUCCCAAAACUAGUGGGGAUGAAGUCAAGAAAAACCAAAUGGAAAUGCUAUUGCCAACCUGGCAGUGGGCCUGCAAGGUGGGAGAGCUGCUGUUUAAGGCAGGCAAAUGGGCUCCUGCUGGUGCCUUGUACCAGCAUGAGUUCAUCCCCUGCAGGGCCCAGGGGCCUCACAGGCUGCCCAUGGCACAGCGCUGCAUCAGCACGGGCAGAAAUGGCUCCUGGGUGCUUAAGUUAAACUCACUCCCAGUUUCUACGAGCUCUUGGCUAAGAAACAGUUUCACACUUCUUUAAACUAGAUUAGGCUAUUUUUUUAAACCCUUAUCAAUUAAACAAAUGCAGGUUUUGAAUAUAAGGAAAUCUACCAUCUAGAACUUGGUCUCCCCUUCAUUCACAUUCCACUUUAAACCAUGAUAUCCAUUAAUGUAUUGAAUUUACCAAAUGAUAAGAAAUAUCAGAAGCUGUAAUAUUUCUCAAUGUAUCAUUAAAAAAGUCUCUGAUCCAAACAGAUUAUUUACUGUAUUUUAUGGAACUUGCAUUUUUUAUAAAAACAUCUUAGUUUCAUGGUUAAUUUCAAGUUAAAACUAGAUUAAUAAAACCUUUACUGUUUUGUGUAUCAAAAAUACAUGGCCCAAAAAGUGAAAAAAAUAUAUAAAGUGCAAUGCAGAGCAAAUUAAAGCUCAGUAAUUUUACACUGAAGUGAAAGAGGAAAUGCUCUGGUUCUAAAAAUACUAAUUCAGAAAAAAUGUUUUUAAAAAAGAACUUGAACUUACAUACUCUCUGAAACAAGAUUUGUUAGGAAACAAAGGAAGAACAAUGUAUGCAGGCAGGUAUUUAUCUUUUGUGACAAGCAAGAAAAAAGGAUCUGUGGAUAUAAAUACUGCAGUCUUCUGCAAGCAGAAUGUUUUAGAAAUCCUCUACUCAUAAAAACUAGUUAAUUGGGCUUUUAGUUUCCUACAGCUGCUUACCCUGUGCUAAAUUCACCCCCUUCUAUGAUAGAAAUACUUCUCUUACAUGAGACAAUAUGAAUAGGAAAUGACAAGAAAACAUCCUUGCUUAUUCAGAGUUAAAAAACCCCACAGCACAAUUGAUGCUGGUGGUCCUCUUUCUUCAGCUACCUGAUGACCUCUUGCCCAGCAUUGCCAUCACUAUUAAAUUGGAGCUGUAAUAAAAAGAGGCUGAGAAUCUGCACUAGCAAAGCAGCUGAGAAUCUUUCCUAGUUGUUACGACAUCUGGGUAAAUGUAUACCCUGGUUCUCUGUAGCCCAGAGAUCUUCAGAGGUCAUGACUUCCCAGCCCCUUAAUGAACCUUGCAGGGUCUGAGAUUACUAUGAAUAAUUCCAGACUGGUUCCAGGGAGGAACAAGGUCCAGUAAAGUUGUCUUUCAUGUCCCUUAACUCCUCCAAUAUCUGCUUAGCAAAAUCAUGGAGCAGUUAAGAUGCAGUUUUGAGACUCAUUGCAUGUACAAUUAUUGAUCUAAUUCUUCUCUUUUCCCCUAUAUAUCUAAUUUUAUAUCAAAAUCAAUGCCACCAGCCAUAGGUGUAGCUCUCCUGAGUUUAAUGUUGUAGGGGUAUGUGCAAGUUCAGGUCCUUAAUGAGACUCCAGACAAGACAGAGUGGGAUAAAGGCAGUAUUACCAUGCCUGCCCAUGAAAGGGCAGGGGCACAGACCCAGCAGGCCAUACAAUAUCUAGCUUUAUACAGACCAACACUUACAGGACUGGCUCAAGCCAGCAUAACUCAGGAAACCUCUCUCUAGAAAUGUCUCUGCUGAGGGUAGGAAGAGCUUUUCCUACAGGAGCACAAGCUUAUGUCACCUUAACCUGCUGUGGAACCGCAGUCUGAUGCAGGAUGCAGAGGUCUAAAUGUACUAUAAUAUUCCCAAACUCCAUCACUGACCAAGAUAAUGUCUGGCUCCUUGCACAUGGAAUGGAUGAAGCUGUGUUAGAAAUGCCACAGGCAAGCAAUGAGGCAAUGUCCUCUUCAUAAAGGUCUACUAAUAAAACACUAACUUAGGAAGUCUAAGACUUGGGAAAGAGUUGAGAAAGAGCCUCCUUUACCUGGGGGUCCAGCCUGGUUUAGGGCACAGCGUCGGGUUCCAGCAGAUCUUUGGGAAAAACUUGGUUAAUGUUCCAGGGCUCUGUGAGAGCCCCCACAGGAGCUGCAGCAUGGCUCUGGAAGGAGGGAAACAACCCUGCCUGAUUUGAAGUCUAACAAUGCUGUGACUCAUUCAGUGACUUUCUGUAACAUAAAAGCUGUCCCACAGUUUUAAUUGCUGAAAAAGAGAUUCUUUCUCUUUAAAAGAAUGUCUUGUACUAUAAGCAUGUCAUGAAUGCACGUGGAUAAGCAACCUCCCUCAAGCUGGACACAGCAAAGGCAGCACCUGAGCCAACAGCACAUGGACUGGGAUGGUGACUCCUUUCACAGUGGGCUGGCUAUCCUGGAUCCCUGCUGAGAAACCCCCUUCUCCCUGGGGCUGGUAUCAGCAGGAGAGAUUACAGGCUGAGUACCACCAGCCUAACAGCUCUUACAUCUGUCACUAGGUAACACAUUCAGAGUUGGGUAUGCCUAGAAACUCUUCCAAGAGCCCUGCAAGUGUGCAGAGGUAUCCACUGUAUUCACCCCUCUCACCAAGCUGAAUGCACCACCCUCAAGCCCUCAGAAAGGGAGAGUCACAAUUUCACACUCCCAGUUCCAGUGGAAAGUACACAGAGGAAAACCCACGUGCCUUUGUUCUACAACCACUACCUGUGUGAGCAGCCCUUGUCAAUGAAGUUAUUCAUGGGAAUAACUGAACCCUCCUGAGAAAACCUGUACUGCUUUGAGGGCUCAGAUCUGCAUUCUGCUCUUAAUUGUGGAAUAAGACUUUUUAUCAGACUUGUAAUUUACAAAAAAAAACCCAAAAAACCAACCAACCAA